Molecule: long non-coding RNA, 597 nt
Organism: Danaus plexippus (monarch butterfly)
Lineage: Eukaryota; Metazoa; Arthropoda; Insecta; Lepidoptera; Nymphalidae
Exons: 2
Source: RefSeq, a predicted model, not a curated record
GAUUUAGCCCAGGAAUCCGCGAAUGUUCUAUUUUCAGCGGACUUCAACCGUGCCGGCUACAUCCACAGACACCGCGUGUUAGUGAGGAGAGAGCGAGAUGACAACAGUCACUCAGCAUCUCAAGCCCGAGUAUCAUGCACCCCUCAUCUUGAGGCCGAAAUCUUUCCAACGGGACGAAUGAACUAGGGCUUCGUUGACGGUGUUGAAUUUCCAAAAAACUGAUCUAGAAGGCGAAGGAGUACGGAGGUUCCUUUGGUCUAGAAGACUUGCGGCUCGACGCCGAGCAUCCGGUGACAAGGGACAGAAGCCACGAAUAGACCCCGGCCCACGACAUUCCUGGAAAAAAAAAUCUAUGCACAUUCUCAGUUCAUUUAUUUCAAUAAUGAUCGGAUAACAUCAUUGUUAUAGUACCUUCCUUCUUCCAAGAAGCCUUCGUUUCCACCACAAACCCCUAAGACACGACAGUAACUUUGCACCCUGCACGCGACACCUCCUCACGAGAUUACUCUUCCGCGAAACUUGUGUAGAAACUCCGGAUGUUGCUGCCAACGUUUUUUGAUCCUGAACAUUAUUUUUAGAAUACAAUAAUGAUCGAAA